GACGAACGCUGGCGGCGUGCUUAACACAUGCAAGUCGAACGGAAAGGCCCUGCUUUUGUGGGGUGCUCGAGUGGCGAACGGGUGAGUAACACGCGAGUAACCUGCCCUUGACUUUGGGAUAACUUUAGGAAACUGGGGCUAAUACCGGAUAGGAGCUCCUGCUGCAUGGUGGGGGUUGGAAAGUUUCGGCGGUUGGGGAUGGACUCGCGGCUUAUCAGCUUGUUGGUGGGGUAGUGGCUUACCAAGGCUUUGACGGGUAGCCGGCCUGAGAGGGUGACCGGCCACAUUGGGACUGAGAUACGGCCCAGACUCCUACGGGAGGCAGCAGUGGGGAAUAUUGCACAAUGGGCGGAAGCCUGAUGCAGCAACGCCGCGUGCGGGAUGACGGCCUUCGGGUUGUAAACCGCUUUCGCCUGUGACGAAGCGUGAGUGACGGUAAUGGGUAAAGAAGCACCGGCUAACUACGUG
This 468-nucleotide ribosomal RNA is filed under the name uncultured bacterium. RNAcentral's name for it is "partial 16S ribosomal RNA". It matches the Rfam family "Bacterial small subunit ribosomal RNA", at positions 28 to 507 of the family's 1533-position model. The record is from RNAcentral.